RNAcentral lists this ribosomal RNA (403 nucleotides) under uncultured bacterium. RNAcentral describes it as "partial 16S ribosomal RNA". It matches the Rfam family "Bacterial small subunit ribosomal RNA", at positions 28 to 526 of the family's 1533-position model. The record is from RNAcentral.
GACGAACGCUGGCGGCGUGCCUAAUACAUGCAAGUCGAACGCAGUGGGGACGGGUGAGUAACACGUGGGUAACCUCCCAUCAGAGGGGAUAACACUUGGAAACAGGUGCUAAAACGAUAUUGAAGGAUGGACCCGCUGUGCAUUAGCUAGUUGGUGAGGUAACGGCGCACCAAGGCCACGAUGCAUAGUCGACCUGAGAGUGUGAUUGGCCACACUGGGACUGAGACACGGCCCAGACGCCUACGGGAGGCAGCAGUAGGGAAUCUUCUGCAAUGGACUAAAGUCUGACCGAGCAACGCCGCGGGAGUGAAGAAGGUUUUCGGAUCGUAAGACUCUGUUGUUAGAGAAGCGGUAUCUAACCAGAAAGCCACGGCUAACUACGUGCCAGCAGCCGCGGUAAUUC